CAGCUCCUGUUUUAGGCAAGCUCAGAUGCGCCCGGCGGCUGGUGUGCUCAUGCGUGUGCCUCCCUCUCUCACAGCUGGCCCUCGACUAUGGAAUCAAGUUCAUGGAGACCAGCGCGAAGGCCAACAUCAAUGUGGAAAAUCAUUUUUCACUCUCGCCAGAGAUAUCAAAGCAAAAAUGGACAAAAAAUUGAAGGCAACAGCCCCCAGGGGAGCAACCAGGGAGUCAAAAUCACACCGGACCAGCAGAAGAGGAGCAGCUUUUUCCGAUGUGUUCUUCUGUGAGGAACACCGCCUUACU
This 298-nucleotide long non-coding RNA is filed under the name Homo sapiens (human). RNAcentral describes it as "HSALNT0256437". Lineage: Eukaryota; Metazoa; Chordata; Mammalia; Primates; Hominidae. The record is from RNAcentral.